GCCUUCGUGGUGUAAUGGUAAGCACACUGAGCCGGUAUUUCAGAGGUCCGUGGUUCGAUCCCCGGCGAAGGCA
Non-coding RNA from Stegodyphus mimosarum, 73 nucleotides. The record is from Rfam. Lineage: Eukaryota; Metazoa; Arthropoda; Arachnida; Araneae; Eresidae.